This is a non-coding RNA of Hordeum vulgare subsp. vulgare (domesticated barley), 120 nucleotides long. The record is from Rfam. Lineage: Eukaryota; Viridiplantae; Streptophyta; Magnoliopsida; Poales; Poaceae.
AGCUGCGUGGUGACCACAAAGCGAACUAUUCUUUCGCCUUUUACUAAAGAAUACCGUGUGGUCGCCACAAUGUGCAGCAUACCAUAAUUUUUAAAGGGUCCUUCUCCUCUGUGAGAGGGU